GCCAGAAAUGGCAUUCCAAUAAAGCUAGAAAGAGAAAGGCUUAUAUUCUGAGAAAGAAUAUGUUGAAUAUCUAUUAAUUAUCAAAAUAAAACCAGUCCUUUACCACCCUGAAAACACCAUAGGAUUUGUUUCUAACGUGGCCUUAUGUAUUAUUCCUUUCCAUUAGGAAAAAACCCCAAGAACAGAAAACCACUACACAAGUGAUUUUCUAACUCUAAUGGCAGCUGACUGUAACUAUAUUUCCUGUUGUCAUUCAUCAAUCAUGCCAAUUUUAAAAGACAUCUUACUGUAAUUUCAUAGAAAAUCUCAAUUCCUCUACAGCAUUGUUGAAAUGGCUGAAAUAUGAACACAAAAGAGAUCUUUUAAUGUGUUGUGCUGGUCUCCAACUGUAACUAUAAGGCUAAAAAAUGUUUGUCAUCCCACUCUGAUUUCAUCUUCUCAAACAGCUGUAAAAGGUUGUCCACAUGAAACCAAGCUUUCUUUUAACAACAGAGGGGUAGGGACAGGUGCCCAACUUGGCAUUUGAAGGCAAGAGAAGUCUGGAGAUAAAGAGUGACACGCAUAUAAAGCAUGCUCCACUUUAUAUUUUAGAAGGCAUUACCCCAAUCCAGCAGGGUAUCAGUUUUGAAAUUUGAAAUUGCUUUACUGUUUGCUCAGCAGGGUAAUGAGAUGAACAGGAUCAGAGACCUGAGCUAUGACUGGGACCAGAAUAAUUUCUUAUCUUUCAGUAGCCUAAGAAGACAGCAAUGUCCUACUGCUUUACAUCAUCACUGCAAUUUACAGUAGAUGUGCCCUUUUUUGUUUUUCAGUGACAUUUCUGUGAUCACUCUGUAUUAAGGGGCUUUGUUCAGUGAUGUUUAGCAGCACCAUUUGAAGCCUCCUUCUGAAAUAGUAUAUUAUUGUCAUCAGCUAUCAAGAAACUUCAUAUUUUUUCUGGAAACUUACACUCCUAUGGAGGCUGUUAGCAGGUUUGUGCGUAUGUGUGGAAGCUGAAGCUUGGUGUUUCAAAGGGCUACAUACUGGAGUAUGACAGUAGGCCUGUAGGUGACUGCACAGAGCGGCGUCUGGCAGAAAACCCCCACCUCUCACCAGGAUCACAGACUGCUGCAACUUUCACCUGCAAGCGUGGAAACACUGUAAUUGCCAUUGCGGAAGGACACACAGCAGCACAGGUGAAUGUGGGAGAGCCUGCAUUUAGGCAUGCAUCACUGCCCAAGCCAGGAUCUGGUCACAGGCCUCCUGCACCACCAUCGCAGCGCCUAGCAGUUCUCCAGCACAGAGAAGCUAAUUUGAGUUGAUUGUCUUUCCGUAAGACUGUGAGGACAGGAGACAACAGUAGCAAAGCAGAGUGGAAGGUGACAGCAAAAAAAGAGGUCUGUAACAAUGGCCAGGAUGUGAGCUGCAAGUUUUAUCAUCAUAAUGAAGAUUUCUCAAAAAUUAGCUUUUUAAAAGUAACACAACUACUAGAAAGAGUUUGAGUGCCUGCAUUAAUCAUUGCUUAACCUGAGCAAACCAGAAAUCAGAGGAAAACACAAUUACUUUUCUAUUUGGCCUAAUUUCAUCUCACUUAAUCCACCUUAUGGUGCGCAGUACAUAAAACUUAGGCUAUGUGCAUAGGGUUAUAUUUCACCCUGCGCAUGAGACAUGAACCAUCUUCUGCUGUAAACCUGUAUAACUCCACUGCCUGCAUUGUCAGCAGAUCAGCACCGUGAGUUGCACGCCCAGACAGGAAGAGAGAGGAAAAUAAACGUGUGCCUCUCUGGAUCAUACUUUUAAAGCUCAGAUACCUUUUUAGAGGAUGUUUCUGAGACAAGACGUGUAUUGCUGUGUUUAGAACAUCAACAAAGGAAACUCCCUGCCCGCUUGCAUGGGAGGUCAAACCAAGAGCAUGUUCUGAGUGCAGCGGCAGAGCAGAGCUGUAAGUGCUGAAGGCACACCAAUAACCAUAAUCCUGACAUAACAGCUCCGCAGUAUAGGGUUGAUUCAGAGAUAUGACAUUGUGUGUUAACAUAUGCAUGAGUUGCUAAAUUGAUUGAGCUUGGUCCACCCUGGAAAAGCUUUUUGAUUUGAUGCUUUUCAUUUCAGCAAACAGUUUUAUUGCAGCCAGUUUUUCAAAUUGUCAAAUUAUCUUCUGAGCAAAUAUAGUAGUGCUACAACACUUAAGAA
Passer domesticus (house sparrow) is the source of this 2166-nucleotide long non-coding RNA. RefSeq lists it as uncharacterized. NCBI's taxonomy places the organism in Eukaryota, Metazoa, Chordata, Aves, Passeriformes, Passeridae. The record is from RefSeq and is a predicted model, not a curated record. The transcript is spliced from 3 exons.